RNAcentral lists this ribosomal RNA (346 nucleotides) under uncultured bacterium. RNAcentral's name for it is "bacterial SSU rRNA". It matches the Rfam family "Bacterial small subunit ribosomal RNA", at positions 29 to 400 of the family's 1533-position model. The record is from RNAcentral.
AACGAACGCUGGCGGCAGGCUUAACACAUGCAAGUCGAACGGACACCUUCGGGUGUCAGUGGCAGACGGGUGAGUAACGCGUGGGAACGUACCUUUCGGUUCGGAAUAACCCAGGGAAACUUGGGCUAAGACCGGAUACGCCGGAAACGGGAAAGAUUUAUCGCCGAAAGAUCGGCCCGCGUCGGAUUAGCUAGUUGGUGGGGUAAUGGCCUACCAAGGCGACGAUCCGUAGCUGGUCUGAGAGGAUGAUCAGCCACACUGGGACUGAGACACGGCCCAGACUCCUACGGGAGGCAGCAGUGGGGAAUAUUGGACAAUGGGCGCAAGCCUGAUCCAGCCAUGCCGC